This 450-nucleotide ribosomal RNA is filed under the name uncultured Aeromonas sp. RNAcentral describes it as "bacterial SSU rRNA". It matches the Rfam family "Bacterial small subunit ribosomal RNA", at positions 354 to 796 of the family's 1533-position model. The record is from RNAcentral. Lineage: Bacteria; Pseudomonadati; Pseudomonadota; Gammaproteobacteria; Aeromonadales; Aeromonadaceae.
GUGGGGAAUAUUGCACAAUGGGGGAAACCCUGAUGCAGCCAUGCCGCGUGUGUGAAGAAGGCCUUCGGGUUGUAAAGCACUUUCAGCGAGGAGGAAAGGGGUGAUGCUAAUACCAUCAUCCUGUGACGUUACUCGCAGAAGAAGCACCGGCUAACUCCGUGCCAGCAGCCGCGGUAAUACGGAGGGUGCAAGCGUUAAUCGGAAUUACUGGGCGUAAAGCGCACGCAGGCGGUCAGAUAAGUCAGAUGUGAAAGCCCCGGGCUCAACCUGGGAACUGCAUUUGAAACUGUCUGACUAGAGUCUUGUAGAGGGGGGUAGAAUUCCAGGUGUAGCGGUGAAAUGCGUAGAGAUCUGGAGGAAUACCGGUGGCGAAGGCGGCCCCCUGGACAAAGACUGACGCUCAGGUGCGAAAGCGUGGGGAGCAAACAGGAUUAGAAACCCCGGUAGUCC